This 117-nucleotide ribosomal RNA is filed under the name Amphilophus citrinellus (Midas cichlid). The record is from RNAcentral. Lineage: Eukaryota; Metazoa; Chordata; Actinopteri; Cichliformes; Cichlidae.
UAAUGCCGUACCACCCUGAAUGCACCUGAGCUCACCUGAUCUUGGAAACUAAGCASGGUUAGGCCUGGUUAGUAACUUGGAUGGGCGACCACCUAGGAUUAGAUUCAAUUUUAUUAU